GGCGGCGUGCCUAAUACAUGCAAGUAGAACGCUGAAGGAGGAGCCUGCUUCUCCGGAUGAGUUGCGAACGGGUGAGUAACGCGUAGGUAACCUGCCUGGUAGCGGGGGAUAACUAUUGGAAACGAUAGCUAAUACCGCAUAAGAGUAGAUGUUGCAUGACAUUUGCUUAAAAGGUGCAAUUGCAUCACUACCAGAUGGACCUGCGUUGUAUUAGCUAGUUGGUGGGGUAACGGCUCACCAAGGCGACGAUACAUAGCCGACCUGAGAGGGUGAUCGGCCACACUGGGACUGAGACACGGCCCAGACUCCUACGGGAGGCAGCAGUAGGGAAUCUUCGGCAAUGGACGGAAGUCUGACCGAGCAACGCCGCGUGAGUGAAGAAGGUUUUCGGAUCGUAAAGCUCUGUUGUAAGAGAAGAAACGAGUGUCCCUAGUGGAAAAGUUUCAACACUGUGAA
Molecule: ribosomal RNA, 456 nt
Filed under: Streptococcus mitis
Lineage: Bacteria; Bacillati; Bacillota; Bacilli; Lactobacillales; Streptococcaceae
Description: bacterial SSU rRNA
Rfam family: Bacterial small subunit ribosomal RNA
Source: RNAcentral